RNAcentral lists this ribosomal RNA (511 nucleotides) under Theileria sp. OT3. Its description in RNAcentral is "SSU rRNA". It matches the Rfam family "Eukaryotic small subunit ribosomal RNA", at positions 500 to 1039 of the family's 1831-position model. The record is from RNAcentral. Lineage: Eukaryota; Apicomplexa; Aconoidasida; Piroplasmida; Theileriidae.
GUCUUGUAAUUGGAAUGAUGGGAAUUUAAACCUCUUCCAGAGUAUCAAUUGGAGGGCAAGUCUGGUGCCAGCAGCCGCGGUAAUUCCAGCUCCAAUAGCGUAUAUUAAAAUUGUUGCAGUUAAAAAGCUCGUAGUUGAAUUUCUGCUGUAUUGCAUUUUCUCUUUUUAUAUGAGUUUUUGCAUUAUGGCUUAUUUCAGUAUUAAUUUUUUAUUAUUACUGAAUGUUUACUUUGAGAAAAUUAGAGUGCUCAAAGCAGGCUUUUGCCUUGAAUAGUUUAGCAUGGAAUAAUAAAGUAGGACUUUGGUUCUAUUUUGUUGGUUUUAGGUACCAAAGUAAUGGUUAAUAGGAACAGUUGGGGGCAUUCGUAUUUAACUGUCAGAGGUGAAAUUCUUAGAUUUGUUAAAGACGAACUACUGCGAAAGCAUUUGCCAAGGAUGUUUUCAUUAAUCAAGAACGAAAGUUAGGGGAUCGAAGACGAUCAGAUACCGUCGUAGUCCUAACCAUAAACUA